Small nuclear RNA from Cercocebus atys (sooty mangabey), 107 nucleotides. NCBI's taxonomy places the organism in Eukaryota, Metazoa, Chordata, Mammalia, Primates, Cercopithecidae. The record is from Ensembl.
GUGCUCGCUUCGGCAGCACAUAUUCUAAAAUUGGAACAAUACAGACUAGAUUAGCAUGGCCCCUGUGCAAGGAUGACAUGCAAAUUCGUGAAGCGUUCCAUGUUUAA